UACGUAGGGGGCGAGCGUUGUCCGGAUUUAUUGGGCGUAAAAGGCUUGUAGGUGGCCACGUCAAGUCGGAUGUGAAAUCUCCCGGCUCAACUGGGAGGGGUCAUUCGAUACUGGCGGGCUCGAGGCCGGUAGGGGGAAGCGGAAUUCCCGGUGUAGUGGUGGAAUGCGUAGAUAUUGGGAGGAACACCAGUGGCGAAGGCGGCACUCUGGGCCAGUACUGACACUGAGGAGCGAAAGCGUGGGUAGCGAACAGG
Molecule: ribosomal RNA, 254 nt
Filed under: uncultured bacterium
Lineage: Bacteria
Description: partial 16S ribosomal RNA
Rfam family: Bacterial small subunit ribosomal RNA
Source: RNAcentral